Molecule: transfer RNA, 85 nt
Organism: Felis catus (domestic cat)
Lineage: Eukaryota; Metazoa; Chordata; Mammalia; Carnivora; Felidae
Rfam family: tRNA
About the family: Transfer RNA (tRNA) molecules are approximately 80 nucleotides in length. Their secondary structure includes four short double-helical elements and three loops (D, anti-codon, and T loops). Further hydrogen bonds mediate the characteristic L-shaped molecular structure. tRNAs have two regions of fundamental functional importance: the anti-codon, which is responsible for specific mRNA codon recognition, and the 3' end, to which the tRNAs corresponding amino acid is attached (by aminoacyl-tRNA synthetases). tRNAs cope with the degeneracy of the genetic code in two manners: having more than one tRNA (with a specific anti-codon) for a particular amino acid; and 'wobble' base-pairing, i.e. permitting non-standard base-pairing at the 3rd anti-codon position.
Source: Rfam
GCCUGGGUGGCUCAAUCGGUUAAGCAUCCGACUUCAGCUCAGGUCAUGAUCUCACAGUUUGUGGGUUCGAGCCCCACAUUGGGCU